UACGGGGGGGGCAAGCGUUGUUCGGAAUUACUGGGCGUAAAGGGCUCGUAGGUGGCCAACUAAGUCAGACGUGAAAUCCCUCGGCUUAACCGGGGAACUGCGUCUGAUACUGGAUGGCUUGAGUGUGGCAGAGGGGGGUGGAAUUCCGCGUGUAGCAGUGAAAUGCGUAGAGAUGCGGAGGAACACCGAUGGCGAAGGCAGCCCCCUGGGCCAACACUGACGCUCAGGCACGAAAGCGUGGGGAGCAAACAGG
RNAcentral lists this ribosomal RNA (253 nucleotides) under uncultured bacterium. Its description in RNAcentral is "partial 16S ribosomal RNA". It matches the Rfam family "Bacterial small subunit ribosomal RNA", at positions 524 to 776 of the family's 1533-position model. The record is from RNAcentral.